UUAUAGAACCUUUUUCUAUGCAGUUUAUAAAUAAGAAAACGUACGAACUAACAUCAUCGUGCUUAGACUACAUAGUAGCUUAGUAACAACUUCUACGUCGGGUGGAUAUGUCAGAGAUCUAUAUCGUAGAAAAAUGUUUAGUAAAACCACCAUAACGAAGUGUAGAAAUAUUUAGAAGCACCACCUUCCUUCGGUAUAUAGUAUCUACGUCACUUCUCGUUCCGUUUUGGAUAGAGUCCAUGGAGAGUGUGAAACCAUUAAUAGAGUGUUUAUGAUGCUACACAACCAACACUGGAAUAAUAAACAACUACAUAAUAAAUAAACUGCUUAAAGAAUAAAUGAUACCCUUCACAUUUCACAAAACCUUCACAGGUGGUAGGGUAGGGACUGUGAUUGGGUUGGAGAAGAGUAUACUUAGUGGCGGUGAUCAGGUCAGGAGAACAGAAGAAGGCUUGGGGCUAAGCCAGCGUCCAUGGAACAACAGAUAUUACACGACAGAUAGCCUACAGAUCCUGGUGCUCCUCAUAUCUGCGAAGGAAUAGUUCAAGAGCGUCCUUGGUAAUGUACUAGAGGACCGUUUGUAUACCAAUGACUAAAGACGGGGUAUCACGUGACAAUAUAAGUCUUAUCCAAGUACAGGCUUAUUAGAAUCUUAACUGUGUUCACAGGAGAAUCUAACACAAAGAAUGAGUUGCUUCUGAACCUUUAUUACGUACCUUCGUUUCCGUCCUCUAUUACGAGACCUCGCUCGUUGAUUUGUAACAUCCCGUUGUGAUUAAGUAGGGUACAGUUGAACCUCCUGUUGUGAUGCCUACUGGUGUAGUCAUUACCGUUGUGACCGCCAUCAUUACUACCACUUUGUAAACAUGUAGGCCUCCUCCUAGAGUGAUCAGGACGGGAACCUUGAUUACUUACUGGUAGAAUACCAUAAAACCUAGAGAGACCACGAUCAUGUACGAGUACUCGUUUGAAUGAUCGACGAAUCAUAAACUGACGUUAAACUACCUACCCUUUAUAAAUUCACUAUACAUACAUGUACUACGAGGACUAGUACUUGUAUCGACUGGAUCUUUACACAUAAAACAACCGUAACGAGACACGUUACACUACCUACUCUUAGUCUAACCACAGGACAUUAACAACAAGCCU
This 1149-nucleotide ribosomal RNA is filed under the name Triticum aestivum (bread wheat). Its description in RNAcentral is "partial small subunit ribosomal RNA". Lineage: Eukaryota; Viridiplantae; Streptophyta; Magnoliopsida; Poales; Poaceae. The record is from RNAcentral.